RNAcentral lists this non-coding RNA (81 nucleotides) under unclassified sequences. RNAcentral describes it as "c-di-GMP sequence". It matches the Rfam family "Cyclic di-GMP-II riboswitch aptamer". The record is from Rfam by way of RNAcentral.
AUCGCCAUCGGACGCGAUGACUUGCAGACCUCACCUGGGCACCUUGGUCUGCGACGAGCGAGUGGUGCGACCGGCUGUGAA